This 369-nucleotide ribosomal RNA is filed under the name Uloma queenslandica. RNAcentral describes it as "partial 12S ribosomal RNA". The record is from RNAcentral. Lineage: Eukaryota; Metazoa; Arthropoda; Insecta; Coleoptera; Tenebrionidae.
GAUACCCUAUUAUUUUAAAUGUAGUUUUUUACCUAGAUUAUUAGUAGUUAUGGUCUUUAAAAUUAAAAAAUUUGGCGGUAUUUUAGUCUGUUCAGAGGAACCUGUUUCUUAAUUGAUAGUCCACGAUGAUUUUUACUUUAGCUUUAAAUUUGUAUAUCGUCGUUUAUAAAAAUUUUAGUAGAAUAAGAAUUUUUUAGUUGUGGGAUUAUUAAUUUAUUUCAGAUCAAGGUGUAGUUUAUGUUAAAGUUGAGAUGGGUUACAUUGUAGUUAUAAUUGGAAUUUUUAUUUAAAAUUUUAAUGAAAUUGGAUUUGAUAGUAAAUUCUUUGUUUUUGGGAUUUGAUUUAGCUCUAAAAUAUGUACACAUCGCC